Molecule: ribosomal RNA, 250 nt
Filed under: uncultured bacterium
Lineage: Bacteria
Description: partial 16S ribosomal RNA
Rfam family: Bacterial small subunit ribosomal RNA
Source: RNAcentral
UACGAAGGGAGCUAGCGUUGUUCGGAAUUACUGGGCGUAAAGGGCGCGUAGGCGGUUUAACAAGUUGGGUGUGAAAGCCCAGGGCUCAACCCUGGAACGGCACCCAAGACUGUUUUACUUGAAUUCGGUAGAGGUUGGUGGAAUUCCCAGUGUAGAGGUGAAAUUCGUAGAGAUUGGGAAGAAUAUCCGUGGCGAAGGCGGCCAACUGGACCGACAUUGACGCUGAGGCGCGAAAGCGUGGGGAGCAAAC